Molecule: ribosomal RNA, 253 nt
Filed under: uncultured bacterium
Lineage: Bacteria
Description: partial 16S ribosomal RNA
Rfam family: Bacterial small subunit ribosomal RNA
Source: RNAcentral
UACGUAGGUGGCAAGCGUUGUCCGGAGUUAUUGGGCGUAAAGCGCGCGCAGGCGGUGCGGUAAGUCUCUGGUGAAAGCGCUCGGCUUAACUGGGCGAGGGCCGGGGAGACUGCCACGCUGGAGGGGAGCAGAGGCGAGUGGAAUUCCGGGUGUAGUGGUGAAAUGCGUAGAGAUCCGGAGGAACACCAGUGGCGAAGGCGGCUUCCUGGACCAAUACUGACGAUCAGGUGCGAAAGCGUGGGGAGCAAACAGG